RNAcentral lists this unclassified non-coding RNA (259 nucleotides) under Hevea brasiliensis (rubber tree). The record is from RNAcentral. Lineage: Eukaryota; Viridiplantae; Streptophyta; Magnoliopsida; Malpighiales; Euphorbiaceae.
UGACAUUCCAGGACCAGACGCCGCUGCGCCGGGUCGAGGAAAUGCGUGCCGACUUCGUCGCCAAUGCGAGCCACGAAUUACGCACCCCGCUGGCGGCGCUGUCGGGGUUCAUCGAUACGCUGCAAGGUCCCGCGCGCGACGCGAGGAUGCCAAGGCGCGCGAACGCUUUCUCGGCAUCAUGCACGCGCAGGCGACGCGCAUGGCCCGUCUGAUCGACGAUCUGCUGUCGCUGUCACGGGUCGAACUCAGCGCGCAUGUA